AGGAAGACUGCCCUAUGGGUUGUAAACUGCUUUUAUACAGGAAGAAACGUACCUACGAGUAGGUAUUUGACGGUACUGUAAGAAUAAGGACCGGCUAACUCCGUGCCAGCAGCCGCGGUAAUACGGAGGGUCCGAGCGUUAUCCGGAAUCAUUGGGUUUAAAGGGUCCGCAGGCGGUCGAUUAAGUCAGAGGUGAAAUCCCAUAGCUUAACUAUGGAACUGCCUUUGAUACUGGUUGACUUGAGUAAUACGGAAGUAGAUAGAAUAUGUAGUGUAGCGGUGAAAUGCAUAGAUAUUACAUAGAAUACCGAUUGCGAAGGCAGUCUACUACGUAUUUACUGACGCUCAUGGACGAAAGCGUGGGGAGCGAACAGGAUUAGAUACCCUGGUAGUCCACGCCGUAAACGAUGGACACUAGUUGUUGGGAAAUGUCUCAGUGACUAAGCGAAAGUGAUAAGUGUCCCACCUGGGGAGUACGAUCGCAAGAUUGAAACUCAAAGGAAUUGACGGGG
Molecule: ribosomal RNA, 511 nt
Filed under: Tenacibaculum maritimum
Lineage: Bacteria; Pseudomonadati; Bacteroidota; Flavobacteriia; Flavobacteriales; Flavobacteriaceae
Description: bacterial SSU rRNA
Rfam family: Bacterial small subunit ribosomal RNA
Source: RNAcentral